GUGUGCCUGUAUGUUUGUGCAUGUACAUUGAAUCAUCUUCCUAUGGACUUUAUUACAGGGAAACGGAGAAAAAUAUCUAUGAUUUGAGUUACUGCUAUACAGGAGUCAUUGGAUUGACUAUAUACUACAUAGUGGCCUCCUUCAUCUCUGUCCUGACAGGUCCCCUAAGUCCCUCUGCCGUCGACGCUCAACUGAUUCAACCCAGGUGUUUGGAACUUUACAAGCGCCUCUGGGGUUUCUUCAAAGAUUCUUCUUCCGAAGAAAAUGGAAGUGUCCAAAGCAAUAACUUCGGCUUCAUUGAAACGAAGGUCGAAAUUGGACUCCAAACAGCUCCUAGCAUCUCUAAAUAACAUUCUUCAACAUCUCAAAUAGAAAAAGAUACUUUAUUUGUAAGGGUAUGUUUAUGUAUUAAGACAUAUAUCCAGCGAAUGUCAUUGAAAAUAAAUCAUUUGGAAUAGUCA
Long non-coding RNA from Macrobrachium nipponense, 461 nucleotides. RefSeq lists it as uncharacterized. Lineage: Eukaryota; Metazoa; Arthropoda; Malacostraca; Decapoda; Palaemonidae. The transcript has 2 exons. The record is from RefSeq and is a predicted model, not a curated record.